RNAcentral lists this transfer RNA (73 nucleotides) under Bos taurus (domestic cattle). It matches the Rfam family "tRNA". From Rfam's summary of the family: Transfer RNA (tRNA) molecules are approximately 80 nucleotides in length. The record is from Rfam by way of RNAcentral. Lineage: Eukaryota; Metazoa; Chordata; Mammalia; Artiodactyla; Bovidae. RNAcentral also lists the same sequence under 3 other names.
UCCCUGAUGGUCCAGUGACUAAGACUCCGCACUCCCACUGCAGGGGGCCUGGGUUCAAUCCCUGGUUGGGGAA